CCCUACCCCCACCCCUGUACCGUCACGGCCUCUGCCGCUGGGCGACGCUCCUCCUAGCCCGCUGUCGCCUGCAGCUCCAGGGGACGCCUUUCUGUCCUGGCUUUAGAGGACCGUGAUCAAACGCUCCCGCGAUGCCACUGUUCUCACGACUCCCACUCCAGUAACCAGGUGGUUUGUGAGAGCCAAGAGGGAAGCCGGCAAGCCCGAGCCUAAAGUUAAGGCUUUCCGCCCGGGAUUUGCCACUGAGGUUUGUAACACGCACAAUUUGAGCAGAAAAGUUUUUGCAGUUGACCAAUAAUAAGCUGGGUAGCUUGAUCUGAUAGCACCAUUCUUACAUUAACGCGUGCCAAGGGUUUUUAAUGCGUGGGUUCUGCUAAACCGAAACACCUAACAGAGAGCUGGGGCCUCCAUUGUGUUGCCCAUCCUGUGUAGCAUCGAAUUCGCUCACUAUACACCUGAUACUUCCUCUGUCUUUUCUCUGCGACAGCCAGAUGUUAUUCCAUCUUAAAGUGCUUCUCAACUUGUGGGUCGCAACCAGUUGAGAGUCAAAGGACCCUUUCACAGGGGUGUCACCUAAGACCAUCAGAAAACACAGAUCUCAUCAAGCUGUGAAUGUUUCUUUGAAAAACUGCAAGUCUAAAAUGGUGCAUACAGGCAAAAUAUGGAAAGAAAACUCAGACAAGAUACAGAGAAAAUGGACUAUGGUAAGGUGAUAGUUUCACUUUAAAUUGUUCACAUGUGUUGUGGGCCUUGCUUGUCAGCUCUCUUAAGUGACAUUCAGUUCUCUUCAGGGACAAGUCUUGCUGGAGGAUGACUGACAGGACUUGCCAUUCCAAGUGACAUAUUAUGAGAUCAAUUAGAUCACCCCGUAAAAAUGGAAAAUUAUAUUUUCCCAUUAUAAUUUUUGUAUAUGUCGUUAAGAUUAAAACAUAUAGUAUCAAUA
Long non-coding RNA from Peromyscus eremicus (cactus mouse), 943 nucleotides. RefSeq lists it as uncharacterized. The record is from RefSeq and is a predicted model, not a curated record. The transcript has 3 exons. Lineage: Eukaryota; Metazoa; Chordata; Mammalia; Rodentia; Cricetidae.